GACGAACGCUGGCGGCGUGCUUAACACAUGCAAGUCGAACGGAAAGGCCCCUUUGGGGGUACUCGAGUGGCGAACGGGUGAGUAACACGUGAGUAACCUGCCCUUGACUUCGGGAUAACUUCAUGAAACUGGGGCUAAUACCGGAUAGGAAUCCUUGCUGCAUGGUGGGGGUUGGAAAGCUUCGGCGGUUUUGGAUGGACUCGCGGCUUAUCAGCUUGUUGGUGGGGUAGUGGCUUACCAAGGCUUUGAUGGGUAGCCGGCCUGAGAGGGCGACCGGCCACAUUGGGACUGAGAUACGGCCCAGACUCCUACGGGAGGCAGCGGUGGGGAAUAUUGCACAAUGGGCGGAAGCCUGAUGCAGCAACGCCGCGUGCGGGAUGACGGCCUUCGGGUUGUAAACCGCUUUCAGCAGGGGCGAAGCUUGUGGUGACGGUACCUGCAGAAGAAGCACCGGCUAACUACGUG
RNAcentral lists this ribosomal RNA (465 nucleotides) under uncultured bacterium. Its description in RNAcentral is "partial 16S ribosomal RNA". It matches the Rfam family "Bacterial small subunit ribosomal RNA", at positions 28 to 507 of the family's 1533-position model. The record is from RNAcentral.